RNAcentral lists this long non-coding RNA (292 nucleotides) under Brassica rapa (field mustard). Its description in RNAcentral is "long non-coding RNA (BRAP_LNC004496)". The record is from RNAcentral. Lineage: Eukaryota; Viridiplantae; Streptophyta; Magnoliopsida; Brassicales; Brassicaceae.
GGUCGGCCCGCCCUACGGGCGGGAUGUGAUGUAUUGUCUAAUAGCUAAGAAUUCAGGUAUAUAUUUUCUCAAUGAAUUUUUGUAUGUUCAUUUGUUGGAUAGUGUGAUAAAUUUUACUGGUUAGUCAUGUUUACACCAGUUUAUGAGUGUUAUUGGUACGUUUGCAUUGUAGUUGUAUUUAGACUAUUAACUUGGAUGACCAAUUUGGUUCUGAAACAACAAAUAUAGCAUUAAUCCAUGUAAGAGUUUUCUAAUGAACUAAUGAAGUAGAGAGUAACUUAUUGAAUUUGAU